Molecule: ribosomal RNA, 447 nt
Filed under: uncultured bacterium
Lineage: Bacteria
Description: partial 16S ribosomal RNA
Rfam family: Bacterial small subunit ribosomal RNA
Source: RNAcentral
AACGAACGCUGGCGGCAGGCUUAACACAUGCAAGUCGAGCGCCCCGCAAGGGGAGCGGCAGACGGGAGAGUAACACAUGGGAACGUACCCUUCAGUUCGGAACAACCCAGGGAAACUUGGGCUAAUACCGAAUACGUCCGUAAGGAGAAAGAUUUAUCGCUGAAGGAUCGGCCCGCGUCUGAUUAGCUAGUUGGUGAGGUAACGGCUCACCAAGGCGACGAUCAGUAGCUGGUCUGAGAGGAUGAUCAGCCUCACUGGGACUGAGACACGGCCCAGACUCCUACGGGAGGCAGCAGUGGGGAAUAUUGGACAAUGGGCGCAAGCCUGAUCCAGCCAUGCCGCGUGGAUGAUGAAGGCCUUAGGGUUGUAAAGUCCUUUUAACGGGGAAGAUAAUGACGGUACCCGUAGAAUAAGCCCCGGCUAACUUCGUGCCAGCAGCCGCCGUAA